GUCGAGGGGCAGCAUGAACUUAGCUUGCUAAGUUUGAUGGCGACCGGCGCACGGGUGAGUAACACGUAUCCAACCUUCCGUUUACUCAGGGAUAGCCUUUCGAAAGAAAGAUUAAUACCUGAUAGUAUGGUGAGAUUGCAUGAUAGCACCAUUAAAGAUUUAUUGGUAAACGAUGGGGAUGCGUUCCAUUAGGUAGUAGGCGGGGUAACGGCCCACCUAGCCGACGAUGGAUAGGGGUUCUGAGAGGAAGGUCCCCCACAUUGGAACUGAGACACGGUCCAAACUCCUACGGGAGGCAGCAGUGAGGAAUAUUGGUCAAUGGGCGAGAGCCUGAACCAGCCAAGUAGCGUGAAGGAUGAAGGUCCUACGGAUUGUAAACUUCUUUUAUACGGGAAUAAAGUAUCCUACGUGUAGGAUUUUGUAUGUACCGUAUGAAUAAGCAUCGGCUAACUCCGUGCCAGCAGCCGCGGUAAUACGGAGGAUGCGAGCGUUAUCCGGAUUUAUUGGGUUUAAAGGGAGCGCAGACGGGAGAUUAAGUCAGUUGUGAAAGUUUGCGGCUCAACCGUAAAAUUGCAGUUGAUACUGGUUUCCUUGAGUGCAGUUGAGGCAGGCGGAAUUCGUGGUGUAGCGGUGAAAUGCUUAGAUAUCACGAAGAACCCCGAUUGCGAAGGCAGCUUGCUAAACUGUAACUGACGUUCAUGCUCGAAAGUGUGGGUAUCAAACAGGAUUAGAUACCCUGGUAGUCCACACGGUAAAC
Molecule: ribosomal RNA, 757 nt
Filed under: uncultured bacterium
Lineage: Bacteria
Description: bacterial SSU rRNA
Rfam family: Bacterial small subunit ribosomal RNA
Source: RNAcentral